This is a non-coding RNA of Cordylochernes scorpioides, 73 nucleotides long. NCBI's taxonomy places the organism in Eukaryota, Metazoa, Arthropoda, Arachnida, Pseudoscorpiones, Chernetidae. The record is from the annotation of a GenBank genome assembly.
GACCAGAGAUGGGAAUCGAACCCACAAUGUUCCGCUUACCGGGCAGAUGCCAUGUCCACUAGGCUACCCUGGA